This 1494-nucleotide long non-coding RNA is filed under the name Homo sapiens (human). RNAcentral's name for it is "HSALNT0381800". The record is from RNAcentral. Lineage: Eukaryota; Metazoa; Chordata; Mammalia; Primates; Hominidae.
GCUCCGCCCGGCCCAGCCGAGGGCCCGCCCCUUCGCGCCCCAGCCAGCUCCACCGUACGGGUUGUGCCCGCCCCUCCCAGACCCCGAUCACCCGCAGCUACGAGAGUUGCCGCCGCCAGUGUGUGCCGGGCGACGUCGCCCACGCCCCUGCCAGCCAUCCUCACAGCAGCAGCAGCCCUGGUAGAAAUUGAUGUGGGCACCCUCUCGACCCGCCCCUGUACUUGUCUUUGUCCCAGCUCUGCGGACUGAGCCUACCUCUCUUCCUUGGGGUAUUAAUGCUACCUAUUGUCUCUCUUGAAUCUUUUCCCUCCAAAACUGCACAGAAGGAGCCAUUUAACACCCAGGGAAACUGAGGCUUAGAGUGCUGCAAUGCUUGCCCAAGAUCCCACAGCCAGAUGGGUAAAUCUAGGAUUCACACCGAGAUCUUUGGAAAACCAAAAGACUUUUCCUCUGCUUUUCAGCCUCCAGAAUUCUCUGAAUUGCUUAAGUCUCUGGCCUCAAAUGCCCCAAGAUCCUCCUUGGGAGACCUCUCUGACAGGGAGCUUGGGGGAGAGCAGAGGGGCAUUGACUUAACUCUGCUGGAGGGAUCUUCUGAGGAAGAAACUUCUCCUUCUGCAUCCAGGCUGUGCUGGGCCCUGGACUCAGAGGAGAGGUGGUCCCAUGCCAUUGGAUUGCAUCUAUGACUUCGGGAGGUAGGGCGAAGACUGGUCCCCCAGACACCACAGAGCUUCCCAUCUUCUUUUGCCAGGCACUUCACCAAAGAAGAUACAUGGAUGACAAUUAAGCACUUGGGAAGAUGCUCAACAUCAUUAGUCAUGAGGAAAAUGCAAAUUAAACCAGAGAUACCACUACACACCCCACCCGUGGAAGUGGUUUAAAUUUAAAAAAUAAAACGAACAAUUCUACAUGUUGGAGAGGAUAUGGAGUAACUGAAACUCUUAUACAUUGAUGGUGGGAAUAUAAACUGGUAACUACUCUGUAAAAACAGUUUUUAUAAACAUCCACCUACCAUAAGACCUAGCAAUACCCACUUCUAGGUGUUUAGAGAAGUGAAAACUCUUGCUCAGACAAAAAUCUGUACAAAAAUGUUUACAGCAGCUCUGUUAGCAAUCACUAAAAACUGGACAUGACAGGUGGAUGGGUAAAUAAAUCAUGGUACAGCCAUACAGGAACAGAGAGGAAUGCAACAUGAGUGAAUCUCAAGGCAUCAUGCUGAGCACAAGAAGCCAGUUCAAAGGGUAUGUGCUGAAUGUUUCAUUUAAAUGUCGGAAAUGGCAAAAGUAUUGUUGGAGGACAGGUCAGUGUUUGUAAAGGAUUACAAGUAGAGGAAGGUGUGACCACAAAGAGCAGCAUGAGGAAAUUUUGGAGUGAUGAAACUAUUGUGUAUCUUGAUUGUGGUAGUGAUUAUGCAAAUCUAUGUACAUGUUUAAAAAGUCAUAGAUGCACUCAGUAUGCAAUGAGGAUAAAAUAAAAAAUAAUAAUUUAAAAUCAUAG